Molecule: small RNA, 1217 nt
Filed under: uncultured Sorangium sp.
Lineage: Bacteria; Pseudomonadati; Myxococcota; Polyangiales; Polyangiaceae
Description: bacterial SSU rRNA
Rfam family: Bacterial small subunit ribosomal RNA (bases 1-471)
Source: RNAcentral
GUCGUGAGAUGUUGGGUUAAGUCCCGCAACGAGCGCAACCCUUGUCGUUAGUUGCCAGCGGUUCGGCCGGGCACUCUAGCGAGACUGCCGGUGUUAAACCGGAGGAAGGUGGGGAUGACGUCAAGUCCUCAUGGCCCUUAUGCCCAGGGCUACACACGUGCUACAAUGACCGGUACAAAGGGUUGCUAACCCGCGAGGGCACGCUAAUCCCAAAAAACCGGCCUCAGUUCAGAUUGAAGUCUGCAACUCGACUUCAUGAAGUUGGAAUCGCUAGUAAUCCCUGAUCAGCAGGCAGGGGUGAAUACGUUCCCGGGCCUUGUACACACCGCCCGUCACACCAUGGGAGUCAGUUGCUCCAGAAAUGGCUGCGCUAACCCGCAAGGGAGGCAGGUCCUUAAGGAGUGACUGGUAACUGGGGUGAAGUCGUAACAAGGUAGCCGUAUCGGAAGGUGCGGCUGGAUCACCUCCUUUCUGGAGAUUUGUCGAGGCCUUCGGGUCUCGUCCAUUCUCGGUCAAUGUCACGCUUGUUGGUUUGCACCAGCGCUCGGAAUGGCGCACGAACUCGGUUUGUUGUUCGGCUUUGAGGGCCCGACGCACCUUUGAUAUUUUGGAGGUGCGCGACUGAUUCUCACGAACAAAAGGGCCAGUAGCUCAGUUGGUUAGAGCACACGCUUGAUAAGCGUGGGGUCGAAAGUUCAAAUCUUUCCUGGCCCACUCUAGCUGGCAGGGCAGCUGGCAUAAGGGGCGUUAGCUCAGCUGGGAGAGCACCGGCUUUGCAAGCCGGGGGUCAAGGGUUCGAUCCCCUUACGCUCCACCGGCCAUGCGGCCAGCGACCGACUCUUGACGAAGGGCUAGAAUCCGAUGUAGGAUUCCCGCCCUUCGUCGAAAGUCGUCCGACUUUCGAACUCGAUCCUUGAAAAUCAAAUAGCAGACAGCGACGCGAAAGCGUGUCUUGAGUGAUCGUUUGAGUCGCAAGCUCAAACGACCGCAAUCAAGCGUCAAAGGACUACGAGGCACUUCCGCAACAUUGAAGUGUUCUCGACCUUGUAGACGGCGUAUCGCGACAGAGAAAGUAGCGAUGUUCCAAUGCUAAUUCAAGGUUGGUGACCAAGCUACUAAGGGCACACGGUGAAUGCCUAGGCGUCAGAAGGCGAUGAAGGACGUGGUUAACUGCGAAAAGCUUCGGGGAGUCGAAACAGGCGUCGAUCCGGAGAUGU